This 497-nucleotide ribosomal RNA is filed under the name uncultured bacterium. RNAcentral describes it as "partial 16S ribosomal RNA". It matches the Rfam family "Bacterial small subunit ribosomal RNA", at positions 28 to 507 of the family's 1533-position model. The record is from RNAcentral.
GAUGAACGCUGGCGGCGUGCCUAAUACAUGCAAGUCGAGCGAACAGACGAGGAGCUUGCUCCUCUGACGUUAGCGGCGGACGGGUGAGUAACACGUGGAUAACCUACCUAUAAGACUGGGAUAACUUCGGGAAACCGGAGCUAAUACCGGAUAAUAUAUUGAACCGCAUGGUUCAAUAGUGAAAGACGGUUUUGCUGUCACUUAUAGAUGGAUCCGCGCCGCAUUAGCUAGUUGGUAAGGUAACGGCUUACCAAGGCAACGAUGCGUAGCCGACCUGAGAGGGUGAUAGCCCACACUGGAACUGAGACACGGACCAGACGCCUACGGGAGGCAGCAGUAGGGAAUCUUCCGCAAUGGGCGAAAGCUUGACGGAGCAACGCCGCGUGAGUGAUGAAGGUCUUCGGAUCGUAAAACUCUGUUAUUAGGGAAGAACAAAUGUGUAAGUAACUAUGCACGUCUUGACGGUACCUAAUCAGAAAGCCACGGCUAACUACGUG